AUGUACACAUACACAACUCUGAUGUUCUGGUUUCUGACAAUUGUGGCAUUACUGGAAAUGAUGGAAUGGAGACCACCUGUCCAUGGCAGUGAAUCACCCAGGUGUUUUAGUGGACAAAGUCAUCCAAUGCCAGAAUGCAUCCUAGCCAGCUGGAUGACUACCAGAGGCUCCCUUACACCCUCCUGCAGUGAGGUAGUAACUGUGUUUGUUUCCUGUGGUAGCUGGGGUGGUCAGUCUGUGGGCAGCAGCCUUUGCCCAUGCAGGGAUGCUGAUUUGAACACGUCCAGCCUGCACAGGGCCUGUGUGGCACUGGACACCAGAGUGGUCACAGCUCCCCAGGCUGCAGGAGGGACCACAGGCACCAAGCUGGGUUGGCAGGGUGGCACUGGGGUGUCUAGUCUCAGGCAAGCUCUCUUUAUCUGCCCCUGGGGCCCUCUCAGUGCCCCCAGCCUGAGCUGGGACAUGCUCUGCCUUGGUUUGCAGCUCUGGGUGCUGGAGAUGCUCUGCUGGCCUGUGUCACGGCCAGGCUGGGCAGUGCAGCAGCUGGGCCCAGUCCCUCUGCCCUUCAGGGCUGAAAGCAGGCCGGCCAUGCAGCCAAGCCCCACUGCCCUGGCUGCCCUCAGGUACCAGCCACAGGCUGGCCCAAAGCAAGCAGAACAGGCUGCUUCAGGAGACACCUCUGCAGGACUGGCCUCGUGUCUGGUGAUGGUCCCAGGGAGGGGCAGAGACAAUGCUCUCUGGUGUCUGCCCUGCGUGUGGCCUGAGGCCGCUGUCACAGGGCUGUCAGCAGGCCCCUGGCAUGGGCACACAUGGUGUUACCAAGGCUGCAGUGCCAUGGACACAUGUGGGGCCAGUGUGGCGGGCAGCAGUGAGGGCCAGCUCCUUCCCCAGCCGCUGCCCACAGCUAGUGGGCUGUGCAGUGCUCACCUCCCUGCUGAGCUCCAGCCCCCAUGAGCCAGGAAAGGGGAACAGCCAGGAAAGGGGAACAGCCCUUCUCGUGCCAGCACACACUGGGCUCCCUGCAGCUCCCAAACAGCUGUCUCCUCUAGGGAUAAAGUGCUUUCACCUUGCCUUAGCUGCUUGGGAAGCAACUGCUUUGUCUCUGCCUCAAGCUCCCUGUGUUGCCCGAGUCUCAGAUGGAGGAGUGGUUAUGUUUACACAUACAGUACAAAAAUUAAAAGGCACAAAUAUACACAGAAUGCAGCAGAUAGUGAACAGCUCAUAAGAGUCCCUGAUGUUGGAAAAACAAGGAUGUUGGAGAGAUGGAGUGGAGCUCAGGCUAUGAUGGUCUUUGCUGUCUGUGGUCAUUACUCCCUGAGGUGACCCUUCUGCUUUGUGUCUGUUGUUCCGGGCUCUGCAGCCCCAUCCCGAGGAACCAUGCACAGGGUUGCACGGAGUGCUGACGGCUUGGCUGCUGACGAAGGGGAAAGUGGUGAACUGAGCUUACCACAGGCGUCAUGACUCCAUUUCUGGCUGGCAAGAGCAAAUAACUUAUGGGUGCCACAGUGCAGACCAGUGUCGGAUCUCAACCAGAAGAGUUUUAGCUGCUCAGAAGGGUGUCUUGUGGUUACUUGUGAAGUGAGGCAAACUUGUAGCCAUGGCCAGGCCCACUCUCUCCACAAGGCUGGUUUGAGUAUGACCAAGCUGUGCCUGCAGCUGAAGGCAGGGUCCCUUGCGGCACUGUGCUGCAAGAAAGGUCA
Molecule: long non-coding RNA, 1700 nt
Filed under: Zonotrichia albicollis (white-throated sparrow)
Lineage: Eukaryota; Metazoa; Chordata; Aves; Passeriformes; Passerellidae
Description: lncRNA (ENSZALG00000003315.1)
Source: RNAcentral